RNAcentral lists this signal recognition particle RNA (97 nucleotides) under Jatrophihabitans cynanchi. RNAcentral's name for it is "Jatrophihabitans sp. SB3-54 signal recognition particle sRNA small type". It matches the Rfam family "Bacterial small signal recognition particle RNA". From Rfam's summary of the family: The signal recognition particle (SRP) is a universally conserved ribonucleoprotein involved in the co-translational targeting of proteins to membranes. Archaeal SRP consists of a 7S RNA and homologues of the eukaryotic SRP19 and SRP54 proteins. In most bacteria, the SRP consists of a 4.5S RNA and the Ffh protein (a homologue of the eukaryotic SRP54 protein). Lineage: Bacteria; Bacillati; Actinomycetota; Actinomycetes; Jatrophihabitantales; Jatrophihabitantaceae. The record is from RNAcentral.
CUCGACCCCCCGUGCGGCGUUCAUCCUGCGAACCUCCCCAGGGCCGGAAGGCAGCAAGGAUAAGCAGGCUCUGUCGGGUGCGCGGGGGGUCCCUUGC